AACGCACCUUGCGCUCCUUGGUAUUCCGAGGAGCAUGCCUGUUUGAGUGUCAUGAAAUUCUCAAUCUUUCUGGCUUUUGUUAGCUGGUUAGGCUUGGAUUGUGGGAGCUGCUGGCGUCUCAGAUGUCAGCUCUUCUUAAAUGCAUUAGCAAAACCUUUGCUGACCAUCCUUGGUGUGAUAACUAUCUAUGCCAUUGAUAAUCAGCUCCACAUGGAGGGUUUAGCUUCUAAUAGUCCUUCUGGACAACUUCUUGACAAUUUGACCUCAAAUCAGGUAGGACUACCCGCUGAACUUAA
Molecule: unclassified non-coding RNA, 296 nt
Filed under: uncultured fungus
Lineage: Eukaryota; Fungi
Description: sequence contains ITS2
Rfam family: 5.8S ribosomal RNA (bases 1-52)
Source: RNAcentral